CCUGUUCGAGCGUCAUUAUGACCACUCAAGUCUAGCUUGGUAUUGGGGUUCGCGGUCUCGCGGCCCUUAAAAUCAGCGGCGGUGCCAUCUGGCUCUAAGCGUAGUAAUUUAUCUCGCUAUUGGGUCCGGUGAUUACAUGCCAACAACCCCCAACUUCUAAGGUUGACCUCGGAUCAGGUAGGGAUACCCGCUGAACUUAA
This 200-nucleotide unclassified non-coding RNA is filed under the name soil metagenome. RNAcentral describes it as "partial contains internal transcribed spacer 2 and large subunit ribosomal RNA". The record is from RNAcentral.